CCCUUAGAUGUUCUGGGCCGCACGCGUGCUACACUGAGUGGAUCAGCGGGUCAGGUUGCGCGAAAGCGUUUCCUAAUCUUUAAAUCCGCUCGUGAUGGGGAUUGACGGUUGCAAUUUUCUGUCAUGAACGAGGAAUACCUUGUAAGCGCGGGUCAUCAUCCCGCGCUGAAUACGUCCCUACCCUUUGUACACACCGCCCGUCGCUCCUACCGAUUGAAUGUUCCGGUGAGCUCUUCGGACUGCGCGGUCUGCAGUUUCUGCGUUCCGUGCGGAAAGUUGUGCAAACCUUAACAUUUAGAGGAAGGAGAAGUCGUAACA
RNAcentral lists this ribosomal RNA (318 nucleotides) under uncultured eukaryote. Its description in RNAcentral is "partial 18S ribosomal RNA". It matches the Rfam family "Eukaryotic small subunit ribosomal RNA", at positions 1470 to 1796 of the family's 1831-position model. The record is from RNAcentral.